UACAUGCAAGUCGAGCGAACUGACGAGGAGCUUGCUCCUUUGACGUUAGCGGCGGACGGGUGAGUAACACGUGGGUAACCUACCUAUAAGACUGGAAUAACUCCGGGAAACCGGGGCUAAUGCCGGAUAACAUAUCGAACCGCAUGGUUCGAUAGUGAAAGACGGUCUUGCUGUCACUUAUAGAUGGACCCGCGCCGUAUUAGCUAGUUGGUGAGGUAACGGCUCACCAAGGCAACGAUACGUAGCCGACCUGAGAGGGUGAUCGGCCACACUGGAACUGAGACACGGUCCAGACUCCUACGGGAGGCAGCAGUAGGGAAUCUUCCGCAAUGGGCGAAAGCCUGACGGAGCAACGCCGCGUGAGUGAUGAAGGUCUUCGGAUCGUAAAGCUCUGUUGUUAGGGAAGAACAAAUGUGUAAGUAACUGUGCACAUCUUGACGGUACCUAACCAGAAAGCCACGGCUAACUACGUGCCAGCAGCCGCGGUAAUACGUAGGUGGCAAGCGUUAUCCGGAAUUAUUGGGCGUAAAGCGCGCGUAGGCGGUUUUUUAAGUCUGAUGUGAAAGCCCACGGCUCAACCGUGGAGGGUCAUUGGAAACUGGAAAACUUGAGUGCAGAAGAGGAAAGUGGAAUUCCAUGUGUAGCGGUGAAAUGCGCAGAGAUAUGGAGGAACACCAGUGGCGAAGGCGGCUUUCUGGUCUGUAACUGACGCUGAUGUGCGAAAGCGUGGGGAUCAAACAGGAUUAGAUACCCUGGUAGUCCACGCCGUAACGAUGAGUGCUAAGUGUUAGGGGGUUUCCGCCCCUUAGUGCUGCAGCUAACGCAUUAAGCACUCCGCCUGGGGAGUACGGUCGCAAGACUGAAACUCAAAGGAAUUGACGGGGACCCGCACAAGCGGUGGAGCAUGUGGUUUAAUUCGAAGCAACGCGAAGAACCUUACCAAAUCUUGACAUCUUUUGACCACUCUAGAGAUAGAGUUUUCCCUCUUCGGAGGACAAAAUGACAGGUGGUGCAUGGUUGUCGUCAGCUCGUGUCGUGAGAUGUUGGGUUAAGUCCCGCAACGAGCGCAACCCUUGAGCUUAGUUGCCAUCAUUAAGUUGGGCACUCUAAGUUGACUGCCGGUGACAAACCGGAGGAAGGUGGGGAUGACGUCAAAUCAUCAUGCCCCUUAUGAUUUGGGCUACACACGUGCUACAAUGGACAAUACAAAGGGCAGCGAAACCGCGAGGUCAAGCAAAUCCCAUAAAGUUGUUCUCAGUUCGGAUUGUAGUCUGCAACUCGACUACAUGAAGCUGGAAUCGCUAGUAAUCGUAGAUCAGCAUGCUACGGUGAAUACGUUCCCGGGUCUUGUACACACCGCCCGUCACACCACGAGAGUUUGUAACACCCGAAGCCGGUGGAGUAACCAUUUGGAGCUAGCC
Molecule: ribosomal RNA, 1421 nt
Filed under: Staphylococcus chromogenes
Lineage: Bacteria; Bacillati; Bacillota; Bacilli; Caryophanales; Staphylococcaceae
Description: bacterial SSU rRNA
Rfam family: Bacterial small subunit ribosomal RNA
Source: RNAcentral